Molecule: ribosomal RNA, 253 nt
Filed under: uncultured bacterium
Lineage: Bacteria
Description: partial 16S ribosomal RNA
Rfam family: Bacterial small subunit ribosomal RNA
Source: RNAcentral
UACGUAGGGUGCGAGCGUUGUCCGGAAUUAUUGGGCGUAAAGAGCGCGUAGGCGGUCAGGUCAGUCCCGUGUGAAAUCCCUCGGCUCAACUGAGGAACUGCACGGGAAACUGCCUGGCUUGAGUUCGGGAGAGGGAAGCGGAAUUCCUGGUGUAGCGGUGAAAUGCGCAGAUAUCAGGAGGAACACCGGUGGCGAAGGCGGUUCUCUGGGCAUUACCUGACGCUGAGGAGCGAAAGUGUGGGGAGCGAACAGG